GGAUGAACGCUAGCUACAGGCUUAACACAUGCAAGUCGAGGGGAAACGAUAGAGAAAGCUUGCUUUUUCUAGGCGUCGACCGGCGCACGGGUGAGUAACGCGUAUCCAACCUGCCCAUCACUUGGGGAUAACCUUGCGAAAGUAAGACUAAUACCCAAUGAUAUCUCUAGAAGACAUCUGAAAGRGAUUAAAGAUUUAUCGGUGAUGGAUGGGGAUGCGUCUGAUUAGCUUGUUGGCGGGGUAACGGCCCACCAAGGCGACGAUCAGUAGGGGUUCUGAGAGGAAGGUCCCCCACAUUGGAACUGAGACACGGUCCAAACUCCUACGGGAGGCAGCAGUGAGGAAUAUUGGUCAAUGGRCGAGAGUCUGAACCAGCCAAGUAGCGUGCAGGAUGACGGCCCUAUGGGUUGUAAACUGCUUUUAUARGGGAAUAAAGUGAGCCACGUGUGGCUUUUUGCAUGUACCYUAUGAAUAAGGACCGGCUAAUUCCGUGCCAGCAGCCGCGGUAAUACGGAAGGUCCGGGCGUUAUCCGGAUUUAUUGGGUUUAAAGGGAGCGUAGGCCGGAGAUUAAGCGUGUUGUGAAAUGUAGAUGCUCAACAUCUGCACUGCAGCGCGAACUGGUUUCCUUGAGUACGCACAAAGGUGGGCGGAAUUCGUGGUGUAGCGGUGAAAUGCUUAGAUAUCACGAAGAACUCCGAUUGCGAAGGCAGCUCACUGGAGCGCAACUGACGCUGAAGCUCGAAAGUGCGGGUAUCGAACAGGAUUAGAUACCCUGGUAGUCCGCGCACGGUAAACGAUGGAUGCCCGCUGUUGGUCUGAAUAGGUCAGCGGCCAAGCGAAAGCAUUAAGCAUCCCACCUGGGGAGUACGCCGGCAACGGUGAAACUCAAAGGAAUUGACGGGGGACCGACUGGAUUGUGCCUGGACGCUGAGACACGCAACAGAGGAUAGGCAAGGCACACAG
RNAcentral lists this ribosomal RNA (964 nucleotides) under human gut metagenome. RNAcentral's name for it is "bacterial SSU rRNA". It matches the Rfam family "Bacterial small subunit ribosomal RNA", at positions 27 to 1232 of the family's 1533-position model. The record is from RNAcentral.